This 207-nucleotide ribosomal RNA is filed under the name uncultured bacterium. RNAcentral describes it as "partial 16S ribosomal RNA". It matches the Rfam family "Bacterial small subunit ribosomal RNA", at positions 568 to 774 of the family's 1533-position model. The record is from RNAcentral.
CACGUAGGCGGAUAGGUCAGUCAGAUGUGAAAGCCCGGAGCUUAACUCCGGAACUGCAUUUGAUACUACUUGUCUUGAGUAUGGUAGAGGGGGGUGGAAUUCCCGGUGUAGAGGUGAAAUUCGUAGAUAUCGGGAGGAACACCAGAGGCGAAGGCGACCCCCUGGGCCAUAACUGACGCUGAGGUGCGAAAGCGUGGGGAGCAAACA